GCUUUAAUAAUUUAAUUAAAAUAUUGGCCUUGUAAACCAAAAAUAAGAGUCUCUUUUAAAGCU
RNAcentral lists this transfer RNA (63 nucleotides) under Cantonius szechuanensis. RNAcentral describes it as "tRNA-Thr". It matches the Rfam family "tRNA". From Rfam's summary of the family: Transfer RNA (tRNA) molecules are approximately 80 nucleotides in length. Their secondary structure includes four short double-helical elements and three loops (D, anti-codon, and T loops). The record is from RNAcentral. Lineage: Eukaryota; Metazoa; Arthropoda; Insecta; Coleoptera; Buprestidae.